This 1308-nucleotide long non-coding RNA is filed under the name Carica papaya (papaya). Its description in RNAcentral is "long non-coding RNA (CPAP_LNC012826)". Lineage: Eukaryota; Viridiplantae; Streptophyta; Magnoliopsida; Brassicales; Caricaceae. The record is from RNAcentral.
UUUCUUUGUCGCCGCUUGCUUCUCCUCUUCUCCUCUGCUUCUGCUUCCGUAUUCUGCUCCUACUUCUGCUUCUUCUUGUUGCGAAAAGCUGUUUUUGCUUCUAUUUGCUUAUCCUCCUACCCUUAUUCUGCUUAUGUUUGUUGCGCGAGUCACCACUGGUGUUAACUUACUUCACUAAACACAACAAUAAUCAAGGUAUGUACUGAUUAAUUUUUUUUUUUUUUUAACGAAAAUGGCUUUAUAAUUAUUUUAAAAUGUGUCUACUUGAUCAAUGAAGCAUGAUUUUGUACCCAGUUUGUUACCUAGCCUAUUCAGUCUUUUGCUUAAAAAUCCGUAUUGAGACUUUUUGCUGGGAACGGAGUGCAUGUAUUUGAGAGAGGAAAUGAUUAAAGUAGUUUCAGAAUGUCGACCAUUAAAGCAGUUUUCCAACUAGUUUAUAGCCAUUUCUCCCUCACUCUCCUCUCUCUCUCUCUUUCUCUGCUCAUAUUGUUCCAAUCUGAAUCAACUUUGCCUCUUCUAUUUGAGAGGGGAAAUGAUAUUUCUCCUGUUAGCUUGGUAUUCCAUGUCACUAUUGGAUAUUGUGGAUGUUGGGAAUUUUUUGUGAGGAUUUACACAUUUUAGUAUUUCACGAUAUUCACAUCUCAAAAAAAUAUGAAAGGUGUAACAAAUGCUCAGUAAAGUGGAAACAAAGAUGCUGAUAUGUGUGCAUGCAUGUGUAUAAUGAAUCAGUAUGCAUAAAAAAUUAAAGAGUUAUACAGAAGGGAGAAAGUUACUCCCUUGAUAUAUAGUUCAUAAACUUGACCAGAAAAGAAAAGGAAAAAAAAAAGAAAUAAGAAGAGCAGAGAAGCAGUAAUGAGAUGAUUUAAAAUUAGGGGUGGAAGUGGCGGUUGUUGCUGCUGGAAUCCUCAUUUUCUCUAUCAACCACAUCUUUAACCAAUUUAGGUGUUUAGCUCUACAAUUUAGGUGUAUUUAGCUCUACAAUAAGAAGCCGGAUGCAGAAAUUUGACCAGUAUAUCUAAGUUUGAUUGGUUCAUCACUUCCAAAAUCAAUUCAUCACUUCCACUAUCACUUCCAGCCCCACUCUCAAGUGGUUGAAACCAGUUCUCAAGCUUUAGCAAAUACACUCUUUAUGCUUUCAAGAUUCAUUUUGUCAGAUCUCCAAUUUGAACUCGUCACAUAUCAAGGCUAGUUGCUUUUAGAAAUAGAAAACAAAAAAAAAAAACAAUAAGUUUUGUAAUAAGUUGUGGAACUCGUUGUGCAGGAGUGAGGGCUAAUUGGCACACAAAGUCUGUAAAUCUUUAGUGCUUG